This 5886-nucleotide long non-coding RNA is filed under the name Solanum tuberosum (potato). RNAcentral's name for it is "long non-coding RNA (STUB_LNC009423)". Lineage: Eukaryota; Viridiplantae; Streptophyta; Magnoliopsida; Solanales; Solanaceae. The record is from RNAcentral.
GCUUGUUUCUUGCCUUCAUUGUGUUCUUCUUCCUUUAAAACAUAGUCACCUUUUGUGUGGUACUCAGUUUUUGUCUUGCAAACACAACCUCCAUUUCCAGCAGCUUCAAAUUUGAUAUCAUAGGUAAUUGAUUCCAAUUUGUCUCCAAGAACAUCACCUUCUAUAAGUGAAUAUUUUGUUACCAAAUUCUUGUCAUCAAUUGCAUGAAUCUUGUGCUUCAAGUACUUUAUUGGACCACCUGAUAUUAACAAAAAUAAUAUAAGUUUCGUAUAUUAUCGAUGUAACUAAUUUUUUAAGUUAAGUGAGUCAGGAUAUCUAUAGAUAUGUUAAAUGAACGAGUUGAAAUCUAUUGUAUUCUAUUAAAAACACAUCUAAAGUAUUCUAAUUUUUUGAGUUUUAUAUCUUCUUUUUUUAGUGAGUUUUAUAUCUAAACUAUCAAAUGUGUGAGUUUCUAUCACCAAAUAUUUAUCAAAAUAUACUUAAACUAUCCGUUGUUCAAUUUUUUUAUCUGAACAAUAAUGAUAUUUCAGGUAGAAAAAAUAGUUCAAAUGUGUUUCGAGAAAUAUUUGAUGAUAGUCCAUGUAUGGAACUCACAUGCAUAUCAAAACACACUUGAACUAUCAAUUUUUCACUUUUCUUAUUUGAUCAAUAGUGAUAUUUCAUGUAGAGAAAAUGAACGACUGAUAGUUCAAAUGUGUUUCGAGAAAUUUGAUGAUAGUCUAAGAUAGGAAACUCAUACACAUGAUAGUUCAAAUAUGAAACUCAAAAACUUGAUAUACUUUAAAUGUAUUUUUAACUCGUCACUCCAAUAUAAUAUAAUUAAUCGUAUACACUAACGAUAUACAAAAGAUAUUUAUACAAUCAGAUCGUUCAUUUAAACUAGCUAGGUAGUAAAAAUGAUAAAUGUAAAACUAAUUAUAUUACCUUCAACAAAGUUCAUCUUCUUGAUACUUCCAUCUCCCUCAGUCUCAACAUUCUUAACAUUUGGCAUCAAUUUAGGGAUAAGAUUGUCAGCAUCAACAACCAAAGCUUUGAACAACCUAGUAGGGGACACUGUGCUUGUGGCUUCAUGUGUAUAGGUAGUGACACCCAUAGUGUUAAUUUUCUUUCAACUUUUUUUUAGUAAUUAAAAAGAGAAUAUAUAUAAGAAGUGAAAUUAAUAUGCUAGCUAGUUUUGAGUUGUGGGAUGUAAUGUUUAAGUUUUAGAUGGUAUUUAUUUUUAUAGGGUAUAAAAUAGAGUGAGAGUUAAGAGUUUGAAGUCAUCACCAACCUUAGCUUUAAUGUUAAUUUCAAUAUUCAAAGUAGGCCAUUCUUGACCUCUAUAUUAUUUUUUCUAGAUGGUGAUGGUUAUCGCGUCGUAAGUAGUGAAAUUAGAAUUUAAAUUUUAUGCUUUAAAUUCAUUAUAUUUCGAAGUUAUGAGUUUAUACUAUCUAUUAUUUGUUGCACAUAAUUUUUAUGAAUUUAUUGUAUUUCACGUUAAAAAUAUUAGAUUCAAAUGAAUCUGUUACAUUCAUCUCUAUCACCGCUCUUAAUCGAAGUUUUUGAAUUAUGAAUUCUAAAGAUGAAAACAACUUUAUUCUUAAUCAGAUAUAUCUUAAAUUUGAUUCCUAAAUGAAGAUGAUUCUAAAAAAAAAUAUUUUUCUCUUUUAACAAACUUUACACUAUACAAAUUUUCAAAUUAAUCGAGAUUGAAAAUAAUAUCGAACAUCAGAUGAAAAAUGAAAAUAUAUAUUCCGGUUGCGUCACUUAGUUCAAAUUAAUUUGUUGGUUGUGGCGUUGGAUAACUUCAUGACAAAAUGGUCUAACAAUGAGGCCCGAUGACACAUUAAAGUAUACUCCAUAUCAAAAUUGUGUCAUAUAUAUCCAAAUGCUUUGUGUUUUUUCUUAGUAUUUAGAGUAAUAGAUAAUGAUAUUAAUUAAAAUCAAGAUAAAUUAUACAAAUAAAAUAAUUUUAAAUAAUAUUUGUUGAAUUUGGUUUUAAAUUAAACUUUGAUGGUAUGACUUUAUUACAAAAAAAUUGGGUAUUAUAAUUAUAAUAAAAAAUGAUUAUUGGACAUAAAAAAUUUGUGAAAGUGAAUAACUUUUUAUAUGAUACAAUUCAAAAGUUAAAGAAUUUUGUGUUUUUUUAUUUACAUAUUUUAUAAAUAUAAUAUUGUAUUUAGAUUUUAAUAUAAUCAAGACAAUCUACCUUGCUCAAGCGUUACUAACAAACGGACUCAGCCUGAGCUAUAAAAACUUUAUUUUUAGAUGGAUUCAAAAAAUAAAAAAUAAAAUUGUCCAACUUUAUUAAAUUACGAAUUGAUCUGGAUCGAUAUAACAAGUCAACAUAGUUGAUCAUUAAAUAUCUUUUAAAAAGUUUAAUUUGAAAAUAUAAAGUAAAAAAAAGUUACCUAACUUAUGAUAUUUUCACAUAAAAUAAGAUGAAUAAUAAUAAGUUAUUGCUUGUUGCCUUUUGGUAAUUGGGUGGGUAGGUGUGAAGGAUAAUAUAAAUUAAUUAAGGAUAUGGUUUUAAACGACUUUCCGCAUAUAGUUUCUGCAAACUGUUUUCUUUAUUUAUGUUUAGAAUAAAAAAUAAUUAUGAAUUUAAGUUAUAUAUAUAGUAAGUAUAAGAAAAUUUUAUAUUAUCAAUAUAUAUUUAUCUAUUAAUAUAAGUUAUAUGUUUUAUUUUUCAGAUUAUUUUUAAAUAUAUUUAAAUGAUCUAAUAAUAAUUUAUUAUCUUGAAAUAUUUUAUUUUGCCUUUUUUUUCGAACUCUUAUCGAUGUUUUUGUCUAAAAGUGAAAUCUUUUACAAGUGUAGAAAUAUUGACUAUAAGUAAAGCCAAUAUUGCUAAUGUGAAAGUAGGAAUUAUGUCAUGUUUGGAUGCAAAUUAUAAUAUAUAUCGUGCAACUCAUCAUAUACAUAUUCUAAUAUUAUUUAGGCGGAAUGACUUGGGAGACCCCUGUACUUGACUUCUUUUGUCAGUUGGACCCUCCUACCAUCACUUUGCCGAUCAAACCCUUAAACUCAUCAAAACACAAUAUUUUAAACUCCUCUGACCAUUGACCGAGCUUAUGUGACAUUAAUAUUGGUGAGUUGGAAAUAUGCGUGAUUACACGCGCUUAAAAACGAGUUAAAACAAUAUUUUACUUUUAAAAAAAUCAAUUUAACAAAAUUUUAAAAAAAAUCAUCUUCUUCAACCCUCCUUCACCCACACCCACCCUUUCUUCUUCUUCACCAGCCCUCUCUCCUCUACCCCUCACCACAGCCCUCACCUUUCUUCUUUCUCCGGCCCAUUCUUAUUUCUCCACCCCCACAUUCACUCUUCUCCGCCUCUUCUUCUUUUUUUUUUUUUUUAUACAAAUCAUUGUGAAGGAUGAUUGUGACUAUUGAAAAUUUUAAAACUCCAUUGAUAAGUUUGAAAAAGCUUAAAAAAUAAUAAAUGGGUCUUGUGAAUUUGUAAAAUUACUUAAAUUUUUUGAUUGGGGUUCAUUGAGUUUGUGUUGGUGAACUUGUAGUUGAAUUUACAAGUUAAAUCAAGAAGAAUUUGAUCUGAUGGGUAUGAAUCUAGUGCUCAAUUUGUGACCAAAUAUGAAGAAGAUGACUAUUUGAAAAGUUAAAGAAAUUAAAAAAUUGAUUUAUUUGAUUUUUUAAAUUUUUUUAGCACUUAAUUUCGCAUGUGGCACUAAAAAUGAUGUGGAAUUUCACGUGUAAUCGCGUCCAUUACACGAACUCUGACCAGAGGAGAAAAGGGUUUAAAAUGUUGUUUUCUAAUGAAUUUAAGGGUCUAGUUGGCAAAGUGAUGAGUAUGAGGGUUCAACUGACAAAAUGAGCCAAGUACAAGGGUCUUUCAGGUCAUUCUGCCUAUUAUUUAUACUAUUUUAAAAAUAUUUAUACUAAUUAGUAUGCUUGAGAUGUUGCACAUGUUUAAUAAAAGACAAUUAUUGGGAGAUCUCUAUUCUUAAUUAGAAAUCUCAAAUUUGAAUUGCCUUUUUGGAAAAAUAAUUUUUUUGUAGAGAGCAUCAUCUCUAGAAAAAGACCUGACAUUAUAUAAAUUUAAAUUUAAUCAGAUCCUAAUACGAAGAUCGAACAUGAAAAAAAUAAAAUCGUUCAUUCAUUAGAGACUGAAAGUUUUUUGCCUUGCGUUUACCCAACAAGUAUUGCUAAUUGAACCAUUAUUGAACUACAUAAAAUAUUUUAUUUGAAUAACUUUAAUAUUUCUUAGAUUAUGUUUAAUUUAUUAUUAUGAAAAUUAAUUAGUUUUGUCAUUUGAUUAUUUUAUAUUAUGUAUUACUAAUUUUUUUUCUCUUUUAUCAUAGUAAACAAAAAAAAAAGAAACUCUUAUCAGAUUGCUGUCUAGUCUAUUCCAUCUUUACUGACUCUUGUUGUGAUUAGGACAUCCAAAAUAUUUUCUCCAAAUUUGAGACCUAAUUUUAAUGUGGAACUUUGACAACGUCAAAGUAUGCAACGCCAUUAAUUUUGAUAUCUCAACAGAAUAUACCGAGUUCAAAUUCUAAAUUCACCUCUCUCCAUCUUCUAUAGGCUCGUUGAGAUAUCAGGAGAGAAAUAACUACAUACUCGGAUCCAUCAUCCAUGCUUAUUAGUUAUUAUGAUGAUAUCCUAAGAAGUAAGGAACUAUACUAUAGAUGGUCGAAAUUAGUUGUUUAUCACUCCUUUUGAUUCAAUUUAUGUGAUAUAGUUUGACUUGACACAAAAUUUAAGAGAACAUAAAAGACUUUUGAAACUUGUGAUCUAAAAUACGUUAUAAAUAUUUGUUGAAUAUACAAAUUUAGUGUUCCAAAAUCUCAAUAAUAAUGUUAGUUAGUAAAAUACACCUCUAAUUAAAUAUUUCGAGAUAUGUAAACGUCAACAAGGAUCAAGUAUUGUAAAACGGAGAAAAUAGGAUGAAUACUCACACAAAUAUAGACAUAUACUUUUUUUGUUGAAAAACCCCUAAAUUUGCCGUGAACUAUUAGUUUUGUUCCCAAACUAUUUUGACUGCCCGAAAAACACCUCUACUCAACUAACUGAACUUAGAGACGUUCAUAAUCUUGUCACAUGAGUAAAAUACACCCUUAAAUUCUCGUUAAGUUUAGUGGUGUUUUUAUUAAGAGUUUCAGAUUCCUAUACAAUUUUGAGACCACUUGCUAUGUCAUGUGAAAGAUCGGAAUAUAUUUAAAUUGAAUUAAUCAAAUAAAAAAGUGGUUUUAAAAUUGUCAAUAAUUUGAGAAUGAAACUAAUAAUUCAAUUCAAGUUUUGAAAAUUGUUGACGUCUUAAAAUUUUCACAAAUUGUGCCUUGGGCUUCAUAUAAUAUAAUUGAAAAGGAUAUAUCAAGGCUUGGUACAAGCAAAAAGAAAGCAAAGCUUUCAAUAUUAUUUAUUGGAAGUUCUUUCCAUGUCAUACAAUUGGAAAGAACAAAACACACAACAAAAAACUAUAACAAUGUAAAAACUCAAGCCCAUGGAACUUUUGAUCAAACUUUUUCGUCUCAGCUAAAAGUUUAAACUUUUUAGAAAUAACACACGUAUAUAUAAUUAUAUUUAAUUAUAUAAUAUCGCAACACGUCCUGAUCAUCUCUCACGUGUGGAUCUGAUUCAUAUUUCAUCACUUAAGCGUAGACAGAAGGAUUAGCAAGGAGGUACGCUUCGAUGGCCUUGAAUAGGUCAAUGGCUUUCCCUUUGCCUACAUUGUGUUCUUCUUCACUAACAACAUAAUCACCUUUUGUGUGAUACGUAGUUGUUGUCUUGCAAACACAACCUCCAUCUCCAGCAGCUUCAAAUUUGACAUCAUAGGCAAUUGAUUCCAAUUUGUCUCCAAGAACAUCACCUUCAAUAAGUGAAUAUUUUGUUUCUAAGUUCUUGUCAUCAAUCGCAUGAAUCUUGUGCUUCAAGUACUUAAUUGGACCACCU